This 483-nucleotide ribosomal RNA is filed under the name uncultured bacterium. RNAcentral's name for it is "partial 16S ribosomal RNA". It matches the Rfam family "Bacterial small subunit ribosomal RNA", at positions 30 to 507 of the family's 1533-position model. The record is from RNAcentral.
AUUGAACGCUGGCGGCAGGCCUAACACAUGCAAGUCGAGCGGAUGAAGGGAGCUUGCUCCUGGAUUCAGCGGCGGACGGGUGAGUAAUGCCUAGGAAUCUGCCUGGUAGUGGGGGAUAACGUCCGGAAACGGGCGCUAAUACCGCAUACGUCCUGAGGGAGAAAGUGGGGGAUCUUCGGACCUCACGCUAUCAGAUGAGCCUAGGUCGGAUUAGCAGUUGGUGGGGUAAAGGCCUACCAAGGCGACGAUCCGUAACUGGUCUGAGAGGAUGAUCAGUCACACUGGAACUGAGACACGGUCCAGACUCCUACGGGAGGCAGCAGUGGGGAAUAUUGGACAAUGGGCGAAAGCCUGAUCCAGCCAUGCCGCGUGUGUGAAGAAGGUCUUCGGAUUGUAAAGCACUUUAAGUUGGGAGGAAGGGCAGUAAGUUAAUACCUUGCUGUUUUGACGUUACCAACAGAAUAAGCACCGGCUAACUUCGUG